GUGGGGAAUAUUGGGCAAUGGGGGCAACCCUGACCCAGCGACGCCGCGUGGGUGAAGAAAUCCCUCGGGAUGUAAAGCCCUGUUGUAUGGGAAGAGCAGAAGACGGUACCAUACGAGGAAGCCCCGGCAAACUACGUGCCAGCAGCCGCGGUAAUACGUAGGGGGCAAGCGUUGUCCGGAAUUACUGGGCGUAAAGCGCACGCAGGCUGAAUUAUAAGUCGGUAGUCAAAUACGGAGGCUCAACUUCCGGAUAUCUAUCGAUACUGUAAAUCUAGAGUAUGUGAGAGGGAAGCGGAAUUCCCGGUGUAGCGGUGAAAUGCGUAGAAAUCAGGAGGAAUACCAGUGGCGAAGGCGGCUUUCUGGACUGACCCUGACGCUGAGGUGCGAAAGCGUGGGUAGCAAACAGGAUUAGAAACCCCUGUAGUCC
RNAcentral lists this ribosomal RNA (427 nucleotides) under uncultured bacterium. RNAcentral's name for it is "partial 16S ribosomal RNA". It matches the Rfam family "Bacterial small subunit ribosomal RNA", at positions 354 to 796 of the family's 1533-position model. The record is from RNAcentral.